GGUCCGGUAGCUCAGCUGGAUAGAGCAUCAGAUUUCUAAUCUGGCGGUCAUAGGUUCGAAUCCUAUCCGGAUCA
RNAcentral lists this transfer RNA (74 nucleotides) under Prevotellaceae bacterium. RNAcentral's name for it is "tRNA-Arg". It matches the Rfam family "tRNA". Rfam says of the family: Transfer RNA (tRNA) molecules are approximately 80 nucleotides in length. Their secondary structure includes four short double-helical elements and three loops (D, anti-codon, and T loops). The record is from RNAcentral. Lineage: Bacteria; Pseudomonadati; Bacteroidota; Bacteroidia; Bacteroidales; Prevotellaceae.